AAAGAGCCCCAGACCGUCCAUGUGAUUCUCUUGUCCUUCAUUCCACCGGAGUCUGUCUUGUAGCCACCAGAUUUCAGUGGAGUGAAGUUCAGGAGGCGUGGAGCUCACA
This 109-nucleotide microRNA precursor is filed under the name Mustela putorius furo (domestic ferret). RNAcentral describes it as "microRNA 205 (ENSMPUG00000021967.1)". The stretch from base 26 to 98 matches the Rfam family "mir-205 microRNA precursor family". Lineage: Eukaryota; Metazoa; Chordata; Mammalia; Carnivora; Mustelidae. The record is from RNAcentral.